UUUUUUUUUUUCUUUUUUUCUUUUUACAGCUGCACCUGUGGCAUAUAGAAGUUCCUGGGCUAGUGGUCUAAUUGGAGCUGCAGCUGUAGGUCUACACCAUAGCUGCACCAACACUGGAUCUGAGCUGCAUCUGCUAACAAAUACUUUAGAUGCAUAUCACAAGUUUUGAAAUGUAGUACGUUUAGCAUCAUUUAGUAACUUCUGUUUUGAUUUUCUUUUAAUCCAUGGAUAUUUAGAGGUCCAGUUUUUAAUUUCUAAACAUGUAUAUAGUUUUAUUGUUGAUCCAAACUUAAUUAUAUUUUGUUCAGAGAAUAUAGGCUGUAUAAUGUGGAUUCAUUGAAAUUUGUUAGGGCUUUCUUUCUGAUUUAGGUACCUUUAAUUUUUAUUAAUACAUACAAAGGACCUGUAUGCUUUAUUUUUGGCAUAGGAUUUUACAUGUAUCUUAGAUCAAACAUAUUAAUUUGUUGUUCACAUCUUCUAUAGUCUUACUCUAAAAAUUUGAUAUGUCCAUUAUACUUCAUUUAAGAAAGCUAUAACUUGAGAAUUAUUCAUCCUCAUGAUUUUUUCUUGAUUUGGUAAAUAUAUAUUUCAAUACUUUGCUGACUAGAGUAGGUUCAAGAGAGAACUACUGCGUGCGUUCUUGCUGUUUGGUACCUGCAACAUCAUGAUUAACUCACUGAUAUGUUCAGUCCUUCAACAGAUAUUUACAAUUUAUGAUUUGCCCAAUAAUCUUCUGGUUACUAUAACUAGAACAGUGAAGAGCACCACACCCCCAUCGCUACUUUCAAGGAGCUUAAAUCCCAGUGGAGGAAAUAGGUGAUUCAUCUUAAAUCACCAGUCUCUAAGGACAGUAGCUGCAAGUACUGUGACGGAUGAAGCAGAGGAGGGGAGUGGGAUGACAGGCUGGUGAAGGUAGCUGCUGUUGCAGGGGGUGGUCAGAGAAGGCAUCCUGAGGAGGUGGUGCUUGAGAAGGACUGAACAAAGCAAGAAGCUGAGACAUAUGGUACCUGGUGAAGAUCAUUAUAGGCAGAAACAACAGAAUGACCCUAGGAGGGAGUAUGUUAUGUGGAAGAAGCACAACUGGUGUGUUUGAAGAAAAGCAAGAAGGCUAGAGUGACAGGAGAUAACCUUCACUCUGAAAGGAUACCUCUGUUGCCUAUAUGGGAACUAACUGUGGUGAUACAAGAGGAGAUAAGGAGGGCUACUACGGAGGCUAAAGUGACAGCUCAGGUAAGAGAGGUGACAGUUGUUUGCACUACAGAGGCACUGAUAUAAGUGGGGGAUUUGGAAUGCAUUUUGGAAAUUUGGCUCACUGAUUUGCUGGUGAAUUAGAUACCAGAUAGGCAAGAGAGGAAUCAAGGAUGGUUCCUAAGAUUUAGCCUGAACAACUGAGUGAAUGGGAUCACCAUUUAGUGAGAGAGGAGAGACUUGGGAGGAUUAGGUAUAGGGCUAAAAAUGAGGAGCUUCUUUUUAUAGUAUUAACAUGGUGGAGCCUCUUAAUUAUUGUGCCAGUUGUCUGUUUGCUCUCAUAUCCACUCCCUCACCCCCUGUCUCUCUACCCUGAAUCAUGGGGGGCUGUAAUUAAUUCUACCCCCAGUCCCAUCCUCCCUGUGGACACUGCAGCUUAUCUGAGGAGACAGCCAGCAGCUUCUGGUGGGGGUGUGUAGAUGGAGAAGAGAAGAUAGUGGAAGCUUGAGCCCUCAGCUCUGCUAGUGUUGAAAACUGGAGAAAGGCAGAAGGGCCAAGAAGGCAGAGUGGAGAGAAUGGUGUUGCAGCAGAAGAGGGAAGAUGUGGAUGACAACUAGAAACUGACCAUUGGUUUUUGACCAUGAAAGGUCUUUGAUAAUACUUACAAAAGUAUAUAUAUAUAUUUUUUGGAGGAGUAGGAACUAUAGCUUGAGUAGAAAGUGUGCAGUGGACAUGAGCUGGCUCUUAAAGCUUUCAUGAAGGAGAAUUAUGCAUCACUUUUGCUCAUAUUUUCUUGGCCAAAGCAAGUUGCAUGGCCAAGCCUGACUUCAAGAGGUAUAGGAAAUCUAAUUCUUCCAUAGUAAGGGGACAGACAUUUGGAUCUUGGUGGGCUGUGCAAGUCAUAUUCACCUUCACCAUGGCUUCACUUUCCUUCUUCAUGAGACAUAUUCUUUAAUAAUUCCUUUACUCAGCAUCUGUGAGUGGUAAACUUUUAUUUUUACAAGUGUAAAAAAGCCUUUACUUUGCUUUAAUUUUUAAUUAAAUGUUUAGGUAUGUGUAAAAUUUAAAGCUUACUAUUUCUCUCCUUGAGCACUUUGAAAAUAUUAUUCCACUGUCUUUUGACUCAUACAGUUACAAAUGAAAGUUCUGUUGCUAGCUUAAUUGAUGUUAUUUUGUAGGUCAUCUGUCAUUAUGGGGAGGUCUUAGAUUUUAAAAUUUCAUUUGGAUUUAUUUUUCUUUAUUUUUCUCAGAAGUUGGAAUAUACAUUGAACCUAAGGACUCCUGUCUUUCAUCACCUCUGGCAAAUUCUCAGCCAUUAUUUCUUCAGUUCUCUUCUUCGGGAACCCCUAUUGAAUACAUGUUAAAACUACCAAAUUUACUAAUUCUUUUCAGCCUGGUCUAAAAUUUAUCCUAUUACUUUUUCUAUUUCUCUGUUUAUUUUUCUUUCCAAGAUUCUUAGUUAUUCCUAAUUAUUUUUCAUAAGUGUCUUGUUUCACUUCUGUGUUUUUAUCAUAUUAUGUAUUAUUAUAUUUUUUCUGAAUGCUGCUUUUUGGCCAUACUCACCAUAUGUAUUUUGAAGUGUUUGUUAGAGCUAAGAGAAUUCAGCAACACUAACCAGCUUUAAAACAAAUACUAAAGGAGCUUCUCUAGGCAGAAAAGAAAAGGCCACAACUAGAAACAAAAAUACUGCAAAUGACAAGGCUCACUAGUAAAGGCAUAUGUACAGUAAAGAUAGGAGAGCAUCCAUGCACAGUUAUGCUAUCAAAAUCAGAAAUUGUGAGGAGAGGAGGGUACAAACGCAGGACCCUGGAGAUGCACUUGCAAUUAAGAGACCAACAACUUAAAAUGAUCUCGUGUAUAUAAAUAAAUUCCUAUAUCAAAACUUCAGGGCAACUGCAAACCAAAAAUCUACAAUUGAUACACAAACAAAUAAGAAAAAUCAACUCAAUACAACACUAAAGAUAGUCAUCAAACCACAAGAGAAGAAAGGAAGAAAAAAGAGCAACAAAAAGAAAUCCAAAACAGUUAAUAUAAUGGCAAUAAGAACAUACAUAUCAGUAAUUACCUCAAAUGUAAAUGGACUAAGUGCUCCAAACAAAAGACAUAGACUGGCUGAAUGGAUACAAAAACAAGGUCCAUAUAUAUGCUGUCUUCCAGGGACCCCUUCACUUAUAGGAACACAUACAAAUUGAAAGUGAAAGGAUGGCAGAAAAUAUUCCAUCCAAAUGGGAAUCAAAGGAAAGCUGGAGUAGCAAUACUCAUAUCAGACAAAAUAGACUUUAAAAUGAAGUGUUUUUUAGACUGUUUUAUGAUGUUGAUUGAUUUAGAGUGAUUUUAUUUAUUUAUUGUUCUCUUUGCAACCAUUAGUUUUCUCUUUGUUUUGGAAUUUGAGUUUACAAGCUCACUUUAAGUGGGGAAAUUGCUUUUCUUUUCUUUUCUUUUUUUUAUCUUAUCCUUUUCCUUUUUCCUUUCCUCUUUUGCAUAGAGGUUUGGCUGUUGCCUUCACUCAGGCUCUCACAUCCUAUUUAUGGUCAACAUUUUAUAACUGUACAUUUCUGAUGGUACUAGAGAGAAAGCUGAUGUAUUCAGAGCCAGAAGGAAGCUUGGUUUCUCCUACUUUGCCAGAGCUCAGGCUUUCUAACUGCUGAAGCCUCAGGCUUCAUUCAGCAGCAUUUAAAAAACCAAAAAACUCUUUUCAGGAGCAAUGUAGAACCACCUCUAGCUUCUGGCUUUAAGUAGUGAACUUGACUCUAGGUAUCUGCAUGGCCUGGAACCAUUUUAGUCUCCAUUAUUUUGUAAGAGCAAGUGUUAUGACUAACAUCAGAGUCUGAUAAACCAUGGUGUGAGCAUUCUCACUCUCCUCCAUCAUUGUUUCGGGUUUCCAUCUCUUUUUACUUUUUAUUUUAUUUAUUUAUUUAUUUUUUGUCUUUUUUUGCUAUUUCUUGGGCCACUCCCAUGGCAUAUGGAGGUUCCCAGGUUAGGGGUCGAAUCGGAGCUGUAGCCACCGGCCUACGCCAGAGCCACAGCAACGUGGGAUCCAAGCCGCGUCUGCAACCUACACCACAGCUCAUGGCAACGCCGGAUCGUUAACCCACUGAGCAAGGGCAGGGACCGAACCCGCAACCUCAUGGUUCCUAGUCAGAUUCGUUAACCACUGCGCCACGACGAACUCCCCAUCUCUUUUUAGAUCCACAGGAUGAUUCGGCUGUGCCUUGAUACAUCUUUCUUGUUUCUUGUUUAUUUUUCUUUUUGUUAUAUUUUCUUUUCUUUUGGAUCUAUUAUUUGUAAGUGUUUGAAGCAGACAGUUAGAUGAACUUUGGGUUUUGAACUUACUAAGCUAUUCUUGUAGGAAAAACCUGCCUCCAUUUCCACCUCCCCCACCCCUUUAUCCUAAAUACCAUCAAAAAAUUAAAACAUAGAUCAUAAAAUGAAAGGACACAUGUAAAAAAUCCAAAGUGAUGCUUUAAUUUUUUUAGAUUCUGAGAGUAAAGAAGGCAUUGACGCCAUUGUUAAAUAGGACAAUAGCUAUGAGCAUGGACUGUGCCAGUUACUGCCAUAUGACCAGAGUCUUCUCUGUAUUGUGAGGUUAAUAAGUUAAACCCAUUGUAUAGAGCUGUUGAAGGGAUUACAUGGGAUAACGCAUAUGAAAAAGCCCUGCACAGUGCCUGCACAUGGUAAGUAACUGUAGAAAUACACAGUUUUAAGUUAUAGCUCAAGUGUAAUCACUAGCAUUUAUGCUCUGAAGUUUUUUCUAACAGUGGCAGGGAAAGAUAUCUUGUAAGUACAUAAGGCAAUGUUAAGAGGUGCUAGAAUGUCUUUCCUGUUCCUCAAGCAAUGUUUUUGAAAUCUCAUUAUUAGAGAGAAUUUUAUUUGGAUUAGUACAUCUCUCUUUGAAUCAGAUCUCCUCGAAUCAGAGGUUUUCUAUGGCAAAGUUAUGUGUCAAGCUGAGCAGUAGAGGUUUCCACACACCUACCUACCUUUCUGUCAGUUUGGUCAGGUUGUUUUCCUGAUUGCUGAUUGAGAAAAAAAUUAGAGUUAUUUGGGUAGGAAGAACUUAUGACACGCCCAGGGUGGGCAGAUAGAUCUGCAAGGAACAUGCCAGUGGGAUUUCUAGUAACUGGUGAAUUAUACAACACAGAUGGACAGGAGCUUCAGGGGCAGGGAUGAGAGCUCAGGAUGCAUCAUGCAGUCUUGGCUAAGCUGUGCUAUGGCAAUGAACAAUGACAAGAUCUCAGUGGACUACAACAACAAAGGCUUAUUUGGCUCAUGAUUUGUGCCUGUCUGGGAAAAUUUACAGCUCAUGGACAAAGAAAAGGUCAACAUGAUGGAGCCAUGCAAUGACUCUUAAUGUUUCUGCUUGGAAGGGGUGCAUCUCACUUCCACUCACAUUUUAUUGGCCAAAGAAAGUCACAUGGCCAAGCUUGAACUAUGAUACUGUCUCCAGAGCUUAACUGCACACAUGACACUAGCAGAUGCACUCGUGGGAACAAGAAGUAUCAAGUCAUCUAUUGGCUUCCUCAACACUGAGUUCCUACCGUAUCAAGCAGAGGGCACCUGAAUAUGUCACCAUACAAAGUUUCAAAAACGUGAGGGAGUUCCUGUCAUGGCUCAGUGGUUAAUGAACCCAACUAGGAUCCAUGAGGACACGGGUUCAAUCUCUGGCCUUGCUUUGGGUUAAGGAUCUGGCGUUGCUGUGAGCUGUGGUGUAGGUUGCAGACCCAUCUUGGAUCCAUUGUUGCUGUGGCUGUAGCAUAGGCUGGCAGCUACAGCUCCGAUUCAAACCCUAGCCUGGGAACCUCCAUACACCACGGGUGUGGCCCUUAAAAGACAAAAAGACAAAACAAAACAAAAACAAAAACAUGAGGAAUCAGGAAACUCAGUGGAGAUGAAAUAUAAUUACUGUCAAUGUCUAGACUUGUUAUGGACUAAAUUUUCUCCCCUUAAAUUCAUAUAUUAAAAUCCUAACCCCUACUAGCUCAGAGUAUGACUAUAUUUGAAGAUAGGGUCUUUAGACAGGUAAUUAGGUUAAAAUGAGGUCAUUUGAAUGAACCCUAAUUCAAUUUGACUGGUAUCCUUGUAAGAAAAGGAAAUUAAGAUACAGAUACAAACAGAAGGAAGAUGUUGUGAAGACACAGGGAGAAGAUUGUCAUACAAGUCAAGGAAAGGGGCCUCAGGAAAAAACCUAACUUUAUGCUGAGUACUUUUCUUCUCAGUUUUUGUGAAUGUAAUGUUUACUUUUGAUUUGUGGUUGCCCUGUUUUUUAAUCAUGCCCUUCCUAUAUCUGCUUGCUUUUGCCUGAUAGUCAUAUAGCCUUGGACGCAUCAUUAAAGUAAAAAAAAGAAUCUAUAUUUUCUUACUUUCCUUCCCCACAUUAUAUGAUUUUGAUUUUUUUUUUAACAUCUUCAUGUUUAGAUCUGUAUGCUGGUUUAUUUAAGUGAUUGCUUUCCAAUUGUGGUUUCCUCCAUUCUAAUUCUUCUUUUCCUCUUUUACCUAUCUCUCUUCUUUUUUUAAUUGAGAGAGGCCCUUUCAGUAUUUCUUUUAGAAUGGGUUUAGUGUUGCUGUACAGCUGCAUGCAAAUCACUGAAACUAGAACACACCCUCACACCAUGCACAAAAAUAAACUCAAAAUGGCCGAAAGACCUAAAUAUAAGACAAGACACCAUCAAAACUCCUGGAAGAGAACAUAGGCAAAACAUUCUCUGACAUCAGCCUUCCAAAUGUUUUCUCAGGUCAGUCUCCCAAAGCAACAGAAAUAAGAGCAAAACUAAACCAAUGGGACCUAAUCAAACUGACAAGCUUUUGCACAGCAAAGGAAACCAAAAAGAAAACAAAAAGACAACUUACAGAAUGGGAGAAAACAGUUUCAAAUGAUGCAACGGACAAGGGCUGAAUCUCUUAAACUAUACAAACAACUUAUACAACUGAACAGCCAAAAAGGCAACAACCCAAUGGAAAAAUGGGCAAAAGGUCUGAAUAGACAUUUUUCCAAGGAAGAUAGACAGAUGGCCAACAAGCACAUGAAAAAAUGCUCAA
This 7221-nucleotide long non-coding RNA is filed under the name Sus scrofa (pig). RNAcentral describes it as "lncRNA (ENSSSCG00040006986.1)". Lineage: Eukaryota; Metazoa; Chordata; Mammalia; Artiodactyla; Suidae. The record is from RNAcentral.